AGGGGUGAGGCUUAAAGGCAGAGUGCUUGCCUAGCAUGCAAAAGGUCCUGGGUUGGAUCCCAGCACCACAC
This 71-nucleotide transfer RNA is filed under the name Ictidomys tridecemlineatus (thirteen-lined ground squirrel). RNAcentral's name for it is "Spermophilus tridecemlineatus (thirteen-lined ground squirrel) tRNA". It matches the Rfam family "tRNA". Rfam says of the family: Transfer RNA (tRNA) molecules are approximately 80 nucleotides in length. Their secondary structure includes four short double-helical elements and three loops (D, anti-codon, and T loops). Lineage: Eukaryota; Metazoa; Chordata; Mammalia; Rodentia; Sciuridae. The record is from Rfam by way of RNAcentral.